UGGGGAAUAUUGGACAAUGGGCGAAAGCCUGAUCCAGCCAUGCCGCGUGUGUGAAGCAGGUCUUCGGAUUGUAAAGCACUUUAAGUUGGGAGGAAGGGCAGUAAGCGAAUACCUUGCUGUUUUGACGUUACCGACAGAAUAAGCACCGGCUAACUCUGUGCCAGCAGCCGCGGUAAUACAGAGGGUGCAAGCGUUAAUCGGAAUUACUGGGCGUAAAGCGCGCGUAGGUGGUUCGUUAAGUUGAAUGUGAAAGCCCCGGGCUCAACCUGGGAAUUGCAUUCGAGACUGGUUAGCUAGAGUGUGGGGGAGGAUGGUAGAAUUCCAGGUGUAGCGGUGAAAUGCGUAGAGAUCUGGAGGAAUACCGAUGGCGAAGGCAGCCAUCUGGCCUAACACUGACGCUGAGGUACGAAAGCAUGGGGAGCAAACAGG
RNAcentral lists this ribosomal RNA (429 nucleotides) under Pseudomonadota bacterium. RNAcentral describes it as "Proteobacteria bacterium partial 16S ribosomal RNA". It matches the Rfam family "Bacterial small subunit ribosomal RNA", at positions 355 to 776 of the family's 1533-position model. The record is from RNAcentral. Lineage: Bacteria; Pseudomonadati; Pseudomonadota.